AGUGAACGCUGGCGGUAGGCCUAACACAUGCAAGUCGAACGGCAGCACAGUAAGAGCUUGCUCUUACGGGUGGCGAGUGGCGGACGGGUGAGGAAUACAUCGGAAUCUACUUUUUCGUGGGGGAUAACGUAGGGAAACUUACGCUAAUACCGCAUACGACCUACGGGUGAAAGCAGGGGAUCUUCGGACCUUGCGCGAUUGAAUGAGCCGAUGUCGGAUUAGCUAGUUGGCGGGGUAAAGGCCCACCAAGGCGACGAUCCGUAGCUGGUCUGAGAGGAUGAUCAGCCAAAUGGGAACGGAGACACGGUCCAGACUCCUACGGGAGGCAGCAGGGGGGAAUAUUGGACAAUGGGCGAAAGCCUGAUCCAGCCAUACCGCGUGGGUGAAGAAGGCCUUCGGGUGGUAAAGCCCUUUUGUGGGGAAAAAAAAGCAGCAGGUUAAUACCCCGCUGUUCUGACGGUACCAAAAGAAUAAGCACCGGCUAAUUUCGU
RNAcentral lists this ribosomal RNA (491 nucleotides) under uncultured bacterium. Its description in RNAcentral is "partial 16S ribosomal RNA". It matches the Rfam family "Bacterial small subunit ribosomal RNA", at positions 29 to 506 of the family's 1533-position model. The record is from RNAcentral.